Molecule: non-coding RNA, 233 nt
Filed under: Lysobacter sp.
Lineage: Bacteria; Pseudomonadati; Pseudomonadota; Gammaproteobacteria; Lysobacterales; Lysobacteraceae
Also listed under: 1 other name
Source: RNAcentral
AGACUGCGCGCGCUUCGAGGUGACCCACGGCAUCCGCCGCACGGGUUGAAACGGGAAGCCGGUGACGCCCCAGCGCUCCUUGAGCGCGACCGGGCCAGCCCGGCACUGCCCCCGCAACGGUAAGCGAGUCGACCGCGGCAACCGCCACUGUGCAUAGGCACGGGAAGGCGCCGCGGGCGGGGCCACGGCCCCGGCUCGCGAGUCCGGAGACCGGCCACGACGCGCGACUGGUU